This 207-nucleotide long non-coding RNA is filed under the name Elaeis guineensis (African oil palm). RNAcentral describes it as "long non-coding RNA (EGUI_LNC031445)". Lineage: Eukaryota; Viridiplantae; Streptophyta; Magnoliopsida; Arecales; Arecaceae. The record is from RNAcentral.
GCCCAUUUAUAUUACCUUUUAUGAGAUAUUCUAUAUAAUUUAAAAAAAAUAAUUAUUCAUAUUAUCAUUUCUUUAAUAAUAUUAUAAUAAAAAUUUUAGAUAAAAUUAUUUUUUAAAAAAAAUCAUACAAAACUAUUGUUCAACCGUCUGCACUCUCCCCCAUGGCUCCUCUGCUCCAUCACUUGCUCACAACUCCAUCUCUCAUCC